RNAcentral lists this ribosomal RNA (466 nucleotides) under uncultured bacterium. Its description in RNAcentral is "partial 16S ribosomal RNA". It matches the Rfam family "Bacterial small subunit ribosomal RNA", at positions 339 to 795 of the family's 1533-position model. The record is from RNAcentral.
CUACGGGCGGCUCCAGUGAGGAAUUUUGCGCAAUGGGGGAAACCCUGACGCAGCAACGCCGCGUGAGUGAUGAAGGCCUUCGGGUCGUAAAGCUCUGUCAAGUGGGAAGAAUAUACAAAAUGCCAAUACCAUUUUGUACUGACGGUACCACUGAAGGAAGCACCGGCUAACGUCCGUGCCAGCAGCCGCGGUAAUACGGGGGGUGCAAGCGUUAUUCGGAAUUAUUGGGCGUAAAGCGCACGUAGGCGGCCGCUUAAGUCAGAUGUGAAAGCCCGGGGCUCAACCCCGGAAGGGCAUUUGAAACUAAGUGGCUUGAGUAUGGGAGAGGGAAGUGGAAUUCCUGGUGUAGAGGUGAAAUUCGUAGAUAUCAGGAGGAACACCGGUGGCGAAGGCGACUUCCUGGACCAAUACUGACGCUGAGGUGCGAAGGCGUGGGGAGCAAACAGGAUUAGAUACCCCAGUAGUC